Non-coding RNA from Caenorhabditis elegans, 196 nucleotides. The record is from Ensembl. NCBI's taxonomy places the organism in Eukaryota, Metazoa, Nematoda, Chromadorea, Rhabditida, Rhabditidae.
AAUUUUGAAAAGAUAGCAAGUUAAAGGGAUCAAGAGAGCGGAACGUCCGGCCCCGUCGGGUUUCGAGGCUUUAUGGUGAUGGCGAUGGGUGAAUAAAUGGGGGCGGAGUCAAGAAAUGGUGUUGGUGAAGGAGCGGCGGGCGGGCGAUUGGUGAAAGGAGAAGAGAGAUGGUUGGAGGAGUAAAAAGAGCAAGUUG